AGAACGAACGCUGGCGGCAUGCCUAAUACAUGCAAGUCGAACGAACUCUUCGGAGUUAGUGGCGCACGGGUGCGUAACGCGUGGGAAUCUGCCCCUUGGUUCGGAAUAACAGUUGGAAACGACUGCUAAUACCGGAUGAUGACGAAAGUCCAAAGAUUUAUCGCCAAGGGAUGAGCCCGCGUAGGAUUAGCUAGUUGGUGAGGUAAAGGCUCACC
This 215-nucleotide ribosomal RNA is filed under the name uncultured soil bacterium. RNAcentral describes it as "partial 16S ribosomal RNA". It matches the Rfam family "Bacterial small subunit ribosomal RNA", at positions 26 to 269 of the family's 1533-position model. The record is from RNAcentral.